GUGGGUUUGAUCCCAUGGGGGACCAGUAUGGGAAUUGUAUGCACUCACUACUGUAAAUUGCUCUGAAGAAGAGUGUCUGCUAAAUUACUAAAAUGUAUCUGCUGCCCUCUCUCUUCACAGAUCCCAGCAUCUAGCUGAUCUGUUUGCAUAGAGGACACUUUGCAUUGGCAGCGCAUGCUUCAGUGCUCUUGGGAGUGUUUAUAGCCCUGUGAGUUUAACACUUCAUGACUGAGAGCUGUCCUUCAUGACAACAGAACCCACAACAACCAUGACUUUUUUCGCCAUCUUCAUCUGGACACUUUCCCUCUGCUUUCAAGAAUCUAGAGGACAGUACACUGUGACUCAGACUCCUGCUGUGAGAGCUGUUCUCCCAGGACAGUCAGUCUCUCUGAACUGUAAAACCAGCAGUAAUGUGCAUGGCGCAGGAGGCACUUAUCCCCGCCUAGCCUGGUAUCAACAGAAAGCUGGAGGAGCUCCUAAACUCCUUAUUUACUAUGCUAAAACCCUUCAGUCUGGGACUCCAUCUACAUUCAGUGGCAGUGGAACUCAUAGUGACUUCACUCUGACCAUCAGUGGAGUCCAGGCUGAAGAUGCAGGAGAUUACUACUGUCAGAGUUUCCACAGUAGUAAUGUGUUCACACAGUGAUACAGAGUCGUACAAAAACCUCCCUCAGUCAGACUGUACACUGACUGUACUGAUACAGCUGGGACCUACUGCAGGUGCUGAGGAGGAAGAGACAGUGACAUGGAACACUGACUGAACUAAAAUACACUGAGCUAAAUAUGUCAGUGAUGCUGACAUUAUGUCAACUCUUUCACCCUCAUGCUAAAGCAUUCCUGAACUGAUAACACUCACAGGUCCAGACUACAUAAAUAUUACUUCCCUGUUGCUAUGGCCAACAAACGUUUUCAUAACAUGUCACACAAUAAGUUGAAUGGACUCCAUCUAUAUGCAAUAGUAAUGUCUCACAUAAUUUCAGAAUAAAUAACCCAGCCUCUGUAGGGUAUGUCAGUCAGUUAGUGAAUUUCAAGCUAAGAUUCAACCAUAUUUAUUGAGAUAAACAUGAUUAUAACUCCCGAAAAUGUCCUGUGGUUCCAUCAAGUUAAAAUGUCUCUCCUGCCAACCCUUCAGCACCUUCCCAGCCUUUCAUUGAGCCCAGAUGAGGCUUGUUGACCAAUGAAGACCAUGACCAUGAUGAACCUCAACCUUAAUUAAUUGCUGCUAAUCACACAGAUCUCUUCAACUACAGUUUCCCUGGGGGAUCAGGACAGUCUGUUUGCAUAGACAGGACAUGCUUAAUGACCGUUCCACAGGUGCAUGUUCAUUAGUUGUUCAUGGUUCAUUGAACAAGCAUGGGAAACAGUGUUUAAACCCAUAGCAAUGAAGAUCUGUGAAGUUACUUGGAUUUUUACGAAUUAUCUUUGAAAGACAGGGUCCUAAAAAAGGGACAUUUCUUUUUUGCUGAGUAUAUAUGUUAUGACAGUAACUGUUUAGCAGUGUGAGUUCUGACAGCAGAUCUCAAAGGUUUAUUAUCAAAUGUCACUAAUUAUCAUCACUGGUAUUGGAGCUACAGUAUAACAGGAUCAUUCAGUAGUAGAAAUGAUUGUAGUCUUUGUUGGAUAGGAUGCCGUUUUCAUUCUGUUUAAAACAUGAGUAGAUAUUUGCUUCAAUGCUGAAAUUAUAAAAGAAGCUGAUUGAUGCAAAUUACUAUGAAAUGUGCUGCAUAUUCAUGAGAUAGUGAUCACUGGAAUCAUGCUUAUAGUAAUUAUUUGUGGUAUUUUCUAAAUAAAAAAAGCUUUAUUUGAACUAGAUGACAUUGUAAUGAAUUUCCUCCUCUUCUUCCGAAGAGGAGAGGCGAAACGGAUCAGAGGACCAAUACGCGGCGUGGUAAUUGUCCAUGGUUCUUUUUAAUACGUUAAGGUACACAUGAACAACUGACUACAAAAAAACAAGAAAUGUGAAAACUCAAAACAGUCCUAUCUGGUGCAAAGACAGAGACAGGAACAAUCACCCACCAACACACAGUGAAACCCAGGCU
Molecule: non-coding RNA, 2039 nt
Organism: Oncorhynchus keta (chum salmon)
Lineage: Eukaryota; Metazoa; Chordata; Actinopteri; Salmoniformes; Salmonidae
Source: the annotation of a RefSeq genome assembly